Molecule: long non-coding RNA, 904 nt
Organism: Chinchilla lanigera (long-tailed chinchilla)
Lineage: Eukaryota; Metazoa; Chordata; Mammalia; Rodentia; Chinchillidae
Exons: 4
Source: RefSeq, a predicted model, not a curated record
UGUGAAGGAAAUAAUGCACGGAGAGUGGUUGAUACAGAGCCCGGUACAUGAUCAAGACUCAGAAACUAGUAGCAAUCAGCCAGCACUGAUAGGAUGAUCUCCUCCUCCUCUGGAAAGAUUGACUGGCUUGAAAGCUGCCCCCAGCACUUGCUUCUCAUGACAUCGGCUUGAGAAGGAGCCUCCUGCCUGAGGGGUCAGGUGUCCCCUUAUGAGAUGAGAGGUCAUGGCUCCAACUCAUCUUGACUAGUCAUCUCCAGGCGGAGAAGAAAAGCUGGACAAUUGCCUAUGAUCUCCCAGCCCACACGCACCUAGAAGGUGGCCCCUGAAGCCCCAGGAAAACACAGCCGGCCAGCAACGGCCCCCCCAACAUCACUCACAGCGAAACACUGGCCCUACUCGGAGGGGAAGUGCCUCUCGGCCCUAGAGAGGUUUAGGGCCCUUGGGGGAGCAGAAGCAGCGGAGGCGCCUCUUCUUCGCCUGUUUACCCGGGCCGGAUCUCAGGGAUGCAGAGAGGACAGGGUACUCAGCUAGAAGGCUGUGCCCAUUUAUGACUUCUGCACGUCCAGCUUCUGCCCCCAUCUAACUGGAUGCCAGGGUCCGCCAUCCUGGCCCACUUCACAGAUAAGUAGACAGGACCCGGCCCCUUCUGCUCCAGUGGCAGCACUGGAGGGGUUGCAAAGGCCUCUGUCCCCAUCUCUGCUCUUGUCCCUGCCUUUCUGCCCCUCUCCCUAAAGCUGUCUCAGCUCCUGGCUGUGUUCUGGACCUUUUCUAGCUCGACGAGAGGGCAGAGCCUGGCAGCCCCUGAGAUAAGUGCUGCGGUUGGGUAAGGAGGCCUCACCACCUGCAGGUCCGCGUUGCACAAGGAGUGGCCAAGCCGCGGAGGGAGCCGCCGGGCGGGGCGGGG